Molecule: ribosomal RNA, 2834 nt
Filed under: Staphylococcus aureus subsp. aureus N315
Lineage: Bacteria; Bacillati; Bacillota; Bacilli; Caryophanales; Staphylococcaceae
Also listed under: 1 other name
Description: bacterial LSU rRNA
Rfam family: Bacterial large subunit ribosomal RNA
Source: RNAcentral
GAUUAAGUUAUUAAGGGCGCACGGUGGAUGCCUUGGCACUAGAAGCCGAUGAAGGACGUUACUAACGACGAUAUGCUUUGGGGAGCUGUAAGUAAGCUUUGAUCCAGAGAUUUCCGAAUGGGGAAACCCAGCAUGAGUUAUGUCAUGUUAUCGAUAUGUGAAUACAUAGCAUAUCAGAAGGCACACCCGGAGAACUGAAACAUCUUAGUACCCGGAGGAAGAGAAAGAAAAUUCGAUUCCCUUAGUAGCGGCGAGCGAAACGGGAAGAGCCCAAACCAAAAAGCUUGCUUGUUGGGGUUGUAGGACACUCUAUACGGAGUUACAAAGGACGACAUUAGACGAAUCAUCUGGAAAGAUGAAUCAAAGAAGGUAAUAAUCCUGUAGUCGAAAAUGUUGUCUCUCUUGAGUGGAUCCUGAGUACGACGGAGCACGUGAAAUUCCGUCGGAAUCUGGGAGGACCAUCUCCUAAGGCUAAAUACUCUCUAGUGACCGAUAGUGAACCAGUACCGUGAGGGAAAGGUGAAAAGCACCCCGGAAGGGGAGUGAAAUAGAACCUGAAACCGUGUGCUUACAAGUAGUCAGAGCCCGUUAAUGGGUGAUGGCGUGCCUUUUGUAGAAUGAACCGGCGAGUUACGAUUUGAUGCAAGGUUAAGCAGUAAAUGUGGAGCCGUAGCGAAAGCGAGUCUGAAUAGGGCGUUUAGUAUUUGGUCGUAGACCCGAAACCAGGUGAUCUACCCUUGGUCAGGUUGAAGUUCAGGUAACACUGAAUGGAGGACCGAACCGACUUACGUUGAAAAGUGAGCGGAUGAACUGAGGGUAGCGGAGAAAUUCCAAUCGAACCUGGAGAUAGCUGGUUCUCUCCGAAAUAGCUUUAGGGCUAGCCUCAAGUGAUGAUUAUUGGAGGUAGAGCACUGUUUGGACGAGGGGCCCCUCUCGGGUUACCGAAUUCAGACAAACUCCGAAUGCCAAUUAAUUUAACUUGGGAGUCAGAACAUGGGUGAUAAGGUCCGUGUUCGAAAGGGAAACAGCCCAGACCACCAGCUAAGGUCCCAAAAUAUAUGUUAAGUGGAAAAGGAUGUGGCGUUGCCCAGACAACUAGGAUGUUGGCUUAGAAGCAGCCAUCAUUUAAAGAGUGCGUAAUAGCUCACUAGUCGAGUGACACUGCGCCGAAAAUGUACCGGGGCUAAACAUAUUACCGAAGCUGUGGAUUGUCCUUUGGACAAUGGUAGGAGAGCGUUCUAAGGGCGUUGAAGCAUGAUCGUAAGGACAUGUGGAGCGCUUAGAAGUGAGAAUGCCGGUGUGAGUAGCGAAAGACGGGUGAGAAUCCCGUCCACCGAUUGACUAAGGUUUCCAGAGGAAGGCUCGUCCGCUCUGGGUUAGUCGGGUCCUAAGCUGAGGCCGACAGGCGUAGGCGAUGGAUAACAGGUUGAUAUUCCUGUACCACCUAUAAUCGUUUUAAUCGAUGGGGGGACGCAGUAGGAUAGGCGAAGCGUGCGAUUGGAUUGCACGUCUAAGCAGUAAGGCUGAGUAUUAGGCAAAUCCGGUACUCGUUAAGGCUGAGCUGUGAUGGGGAGAAGACAUUGAGUCUUCGAGUCGUUGAUUUCACACUGCCGAGAAAAGCCUCUAGAUAGAAAAUAGGUGCCCGUACCGCAAACCGACACAGGUAGUCAAGAUGAGAAUUCUAAGGUGAGCGAGCGAACUCUCGUUAAGGAACUCGGCAAAAUGACCCCGUAACUUCGGGAGAAGGGGUGCUCUUUAGGGUUAACGCCCAGAAGAGCCGCAGUGAAUAGGCCCAAGCGACUGUUUAUCAAAAACACAGGUCUCUGCUAAACCGUAAGGUGAUGUAUAGGGGCUGACGCCUGCCCGGUGCUGGAAGGUUAAGAGGAGUGGUUAGCUUCUGCGAAGCUACGAAUCGAAGCCCCAGUAAACGGCGGCCGUAACUAUAACGGUCCUAAGGUAGCGAAAUUCCUUGUCGGGUAAGUUCCGACCCGCACGAAAGGCGUAACGAUUUGGGCACUGUCUCAACGAGAGACUCGGUGAAAUCAUAGUACCUGUGAAGAUGCAGGUUACCCGCGACAGGACGGAAAGACCCCGUGGAGCUUUACUGUAGCCUGAUAUUGAAAUUCGGCACAGCUUGUACAGGAUAGGUAGGAGCCUUUGAAACGUGAGCGCUAGCUUACGUGGAGGCGCUGGUGGGAUACUACCCUAGCUGUGUUGGCUUUCUAACCCGCACCACUUAUCGUGGUGGGAGACAGUGUCAGGCGGGCAGUUUGACUGGGGCGGUCGCCUCCUAAAAGGUAACGGAGGCGCUCAAAGGUUCCCUCAGAAUGGUUGGAAAUCAUUCAUAGAGUGUAAAGGCAUAAGGGAGCUUGACUGCGAGACCUACAAGUCGAGCAGGGUCGAAAGACGGACUUAGUGAUCCGGUGGUUCCGCAUGGAAGGGCCAUCGCUCAACGGAUAAAAGCUACCCCGGGGAUAACAGGCUUAUCUCCCCCAAGAGUUCACAUCGACGGGGAGGUUUGGCACCUCGAUGUCGGCUCAUCGCAUCCUGGGGCUGUAGUCGGUCCCAAGGGUUGGGCUGUUCGCCCAUUAAAGCGGUACGCGAGCUGGGUUCAGAACGUCGUGAGACAGUUCGGUCCCUAUCCGUCGUGGGCGUAGGAAAUUUGAGAGGAGCUGUCCUUAGUACGAGAGGACCGGGAUGGACAUACCUCUGGUGUACCAGUUGUCGUGCCAACGGCAUAGCUGGGUAGCUAUGUGUGGACGGGAUAAGUGCUGAAAGCAUCUAAGCAUGAAGCCCCCCUCAAGAUGAGAUUUCCCAACUUCGGUUAUAAGAUC